ACAACUCUAAGACCGGUCUGGUAGUGCCGCAGUUUCUUCUACGGACCUCGGUGCCGGGAAGUCCAAGGACUUCGAUAUUCCGGAUCUAUCACGAGGGUCUUCGAGUGGGUAUGUAGACAUGACAGAUAGCGUCUGAUGUGUUUUUGAUAAUAAUCAACUUCAUAGCUUAACGCGAACCAAAUUCUUUUACAUCCAGAACUCGGCUCUCUUAGAUACGGAAGUCCUGAUAACAUCUCAUUCACACACAGGUUCAUGCAUCACAUCUAGUUCCAUCCAUCACAGUAAAUGUUAGUUAACCUGUCAUGUUUUAAUUAUUGGUAAAAUAAAUUCUUACUUUUAUAAACCUGACUCUUUCCUGAAUCAUACCGAAGUGUGUACAAUCCCUGAAUAAACAAAGAAUCCUAGAAUCUUCUGAUAAACACCAUAAAGACCAAGCAGGGUUGAUAUUCUAUAUUUAGACAGAGUAUCACAGCUUAUUGGUCAUAAGUAGAGGUAAUAUACAUAUUGAGCUCUUAAAGCACUACUUUACCAAACCCUACGCUGAAGAGAGAGCAGGAAUGUUUGUGCAUUAGAUUCAUUUCAUUUUGCACACUGCUGACGGUGGCUGGGUGUCCUGAAACACCUUGGAGCCAACCUGGAGCGAGUACAUAAUCAGAGUCUUUGUGAUUAUGGAAGUUUGAAGACUUUUUGUGAGGUGGGGACAGCUUUACUGCGUGGGGAAUGGUCCCAUGACUCUCCGUUUUUAUCAUAUUAAAGAAUGUCUUCAUUGAUUUCACAGAUUUCAGUGCCUGAGCUGCAGAAUCACAGACCCCGGAGGACAGAAAGUCACCCACACAGCGAGGAUGAGGCUCCGGCAGCUGCUAACGCUCUGAGCGACAGCUUCACUCAGCAAAACUCGCUCUUCAACAAAGAAGCGCUGCAGGCAGAGGCAUGGAUCAAGAGCAAACUCCAGGAUCUAAAGGAUGGCUGUAACACUAAGUGCUGCCCCCUGCAGGACUGGGACGAGGCCUCUCAGACACUUCAAAGGGACCUGAAAGACUUUGAGAACACGUUUAUUCAGCUCAACCAGAUGGGCGAGCAGCUGAUCUGCAGGCUGAACCCCACAUCUGACCUUGUGAAGAAGCAGCUCAGCCAGCUCAAGGACCAAUGGCAGACCCUGAAACAGACGGCCACCAAUCAGACGCGUGCUUUAGGUGGAGCAAAGAGUCUGCGGGAUUUCAACAGAAAAGCGGAUAAGCUGGAGGCCUGGGUCAAAGAAAAGGAAGAGGAGCAGUCUCUGGUGAGUGUCCUGGGAGAAAACGUGGACAAGAUGCAGCUGACCAGGAAGAUCCUGGAUCUUAAACAGGACGAGCAGCUACACAGGAACCUGCACGAGGAGAUCAACAGCUUGGCUCUAAAACUGGAGAAACAAGGAAAGGCAGAGGGCAGAAACACCUCGAGCAGGAGGAAACACAUCAACAAGAUGUGGCUUCGGGUCCAGUCCAGGCUGAAAAACUACCACGAAACUCUUCAGCAGGCUCUUGAGGUGUCAUCGUUUUACCAGCAGGCAGAUAAUACCUUGGAGAUUAUUAAUAAAUUGGUAAAACGGCAGAAAUUCCAAAUGCAUAUUUUUAACUUUUGA
This 1621-nucleotide long non-coding RNA is filed under the name Nothobranchius furzeri (turquoise killifish). RNAcentral's name for it is "lncRNA (ENSNFUG00015011124.1)". Lineage: Eukaryota; Metazoa; Chordata; Actinopteri; Cyprinodontiformes; Nothobranchiidae. The record is from RNAcentral.